UACGGAGGGUGCGAGCGUUGUUCGGAAUCACUGGGCGUAAAGCGCGUGUAGGCGGUCCGUUGAGUCUGGUGUGAAAGCCCGGGGCUCACCCCCGGAAGUGCACUGGAAACUGACGGACUCGAGUCCCGGAGAGGAGAGUAGAAUUCCUGGUGUAGCGGUGAAAUGCGUAGAUAUCAGGAGGAAUACCGGUGGCGAAGGCGGCUCUCUGGACGGUGACUGACGCUGAGACGCGAAAGCGUGGGGAGCAAACAGG
RNAcentral lists this ribosomal RNA (253 nucleotides) under uncultured bacterium. RNAcentral describes it as "partial 16S ribosomal RNA". It matches the Rfam family "Bacterial small subunit ribosomal RNA", at positions 524 to 776 of the family's 1533-position model. The record is from RNAcentral.